GUUAGACUCAGGUAUGGUCCUGAAGAACAAUCCAGGUAACGGAGUUAUUGGUGAUCAUCAUGAAAAUUAGACCUAAUGACUUCAUACUUCUCAUAGUAAUAAUCUACCAAAAUCAUAAGCUGUUAUUAAAGGGAGACAACAACUUAUCUCGCAUAUUUAACCAAAUCGCAAACUGAGCUAUCUAUCUAAUCUGAAACUGUCAC
Molecule: long non-coding RNA, 203 nt
Filed under: Brassica napus (rape)
Lineage: Eukaryota; Viridiplantae; Streptophyta; Magnoliopsida; Brassicales; Brassicaceae
Description: long non-coding RNA (BNAP_LNC017724)
Source: RNAcentral